UACGUAGGGUGCGAGCGUUAAUCGGAAUUACUGGGCGUAAAGCGUGCGUAGGUGGUUCGUUGUGUCUGUGGUGAAAGCCCCGGGCUUAACCUGGGAAUGGCCAUGGAAACUGGCGAGCUGGAGUGUGGCAGAGGGGGGUGGAAUUCCGCGUGUAGCAGUGAAAUGCGUAGAUAUCGUAAGGAAGACCAGUGGCGAAGGCGGGUCUCUAGACAGUUCCUGACGCUGAAGUACGAAGGCCAGGGGAGCAAACGGG
This 253-nucleotide ribosomal RNA is filed under the name uncultured prokaryote. RNAcentral describes it as "partial 16S ribosomal RNA". It matches the Rfam family "Bacterial small subunit ribosomal RNA", at positions 524 to 776 of the family's 1533-position model. The record is from RNAcentral.